Long non-coding RNA from Thrips palmi, 487 nucleotides. RefSeq lists it as uncharacterized. Lineage: Eukaryota; Metazoa; Arthropoda; Insecta; Thysanoptera; Thripidae. The record is from RefSeq and is a predicted model, not a curated record. The transcript is spliced from 3 exons.
UUCCGCCGGUGUACAUCACGCCGAGUCCGCGCCGCAUCAGUCCGCAACGCCGAGCCCCGCGCGCCGUGAACUCGCUCGACACGCGGAAACUCGAUCGAAGCUUUUCCAUCCUGUGUCGGUCGGCUCCCUCCGGAAAUGGCCUGACCGACACGGUCGUUGUUCCGGCUCAGAGUUUAGUUGGCAGUCUCAUUUUGUGUUUGAGUUCGUCGGGUGCUCCUGUGCUGCCUUUUGGAUAUACUCUUUCAGAGUGCAGGCGGUUGAUGCUCGCAGCGCUCGGGGCGAUGUGAAUCGCUGGAGAUGUCCUCCCUCGCAGAGGAAGGUGGCGGUGGGGGCAACGGCACACACAGAAUGGACUUGCCCGACGCCCUGCUCCGCACCCUGGUGCCCCACGACGGCGGCCCCAGCGGCCCCCUCGACGUGGGGGAGGACGCGGCGGUGCCCAACGCCACCUUGCGGCCGCACGUGCUGGGGCCGGUGCCGCACCUGC